RNAcentral lists this ribosomal RNA (466 nucleotides) under uncultured bacterium. RNAcentral's name for it is "partial 16S ribosomal RNA". It matches the Rfam family "Bacterial small subunit ribosomal RNA", at positions 28 to 507 of the family's 1533-position model. The record is from RNAcentral.
GACGAACGCUGGCGGCGUGCUUAACACAUGCAAGUCGAACGGAAAGGCCCUGCUUGCAGGGUACUCGAGUGGCGAACGGGUGAGUAACACGUGGGUGAUCUGCCCUGCACUUCGGGAUAAGCCUGGGAAACUGGGUCUAAUACCGGAUAGGAGCCCUUUUUCGUGUGAUGGUUGGAAAGUUUUUUUCGGUGUAGGAUGAGCUCGCGGCCUAUCAGCUUGUUGGUGGGGUAAUGGCCUACCAAGGCGGCGACGGGUAGCCGGCCUGAGAGGGUGGACGGCCACAAUGGGACUGAGAUACGGCCCAGACUCCUACGGGAGGCAGCAGUGGGGAAUAUUGGACAAUGGGGGCAAGGCGGAUGCAGCGACGCCGCGUGGGGGAUGACGGCCUUCGGGUUGGAAACUCCUUUCGCUAGGGACGAAGCUGUUUGUGACGGUACCUAGAUAAGAAGCACCGGCUAACUACGUG